Long non-coding RNA from Beta vulgaris subsp. vulgaris (sugar beet), 1366 nucleotides. RefSeq lists it as uncharacterized. Lineage: Eukaryota; Viridiplantae; Streptophyta; Magnoliopsida; Caryophyllales; Amaranthaceae. The transcript has 2 exons. The record is from RefSeq and is a predicted model, not a curated record.
UCUAGUUGGAAAUCAAAACCCAAAGAAACAAAAAACUCCUUUCUCUCGCUCGAUGCACUGCUUCCCUCUCAAACCCUCUCUCAAUCUCCCGUAGUUUCCCUUCAUCUCACCUGAGCUCAUCGCCUCUUGCCGACGCAUUCCCCAAGCUCGAUGGAGCUAUUGUUUGUCGGCCUCGCCCUUGCCGCCCCGUCUUUCUCUUUCCGUAUCAUGUUACUGUUGUGCUGCCAUUAACCGUCGUGAUGUUGUCGUUGUUCUUGUAGGCGGUAUUGUCUCUCCUACUCGUUGUUCCACCCCUGUCCUCUUGUUCGUUAUUAUUAUGUUGUUGUGCGCUGAUGACCGGUGUUGUUAUUAUGUUGGCGUUGUUGUUGAUGGGCAGUUGUUGUUUUAUGGAUGUGGUGAUUCUGCCGCCACGGUGCUGCUGUUGUUAUUGAUUUGGUGCGUGUGUUAUCUUUACUAUGCAUAUAAUUUGCUCCUUCAAUUGUCGUGUUUAAUGAGUUACUUGAAAUUGGAUAUUAUCAUGUUUUUAAGCAUUGAAUAUGAUUAGAAAAUUGAUUAUGGAGUAUUAGUCUAACUGAUAAGUGUUGUAGAGGUUUAUAGUUAAUGGGUCAUCGAAUUGUUAUAGUGGUUAUUGUUGUGUUGCUGAUGACAAUACUGAUGUGGUUAUUCUGAAAAGGAGGAAUGUUUUUAAUAACCCUCUUAUUUCUUUAGUUAAAUUGGUUAGUUAACUUGGUUGAUUGAGUUCUAUAAUUUAGAAUUAUGAUUAUGAAUUGGGAAAGUUAGAUGAGUGAUGUAGCUAGUGUUGCUGAAUUAGAAUUGUUUGUGAAAUAGAGUUUCAAAUUGAAUGAUUUAUGAGAUAAUCUCGUUGCAUGGCAUUGAAAGAAUGCUAGUUAGGUUAGUAGAGUAGGUUGUAUUAAGAAAGGUUAAUUAGAUUAGUUUCUCAUGUAGCAAGGAAUUUAUUAAUUAUUGUUAUCAUUGUGAGGUACAUGAAUUGUCGAAACUGGUAUAUGGAAUUGGACGCAAUCAAGGAAGCUUAGUGGUUCUCAAUUAUUGGAUGGAGAUAAAUGAAUUGGAGUGCGUUUCAGACUGUGGCCUGUCCCUUGGUGGGUGGUAGUACUCCAAUAGUUUCAAGUUGAAGUUAUGGAGCAUCUUUUCCAAGAUAGAAGCAAUUAUGUGGUGGAUCCGAUGUGCUUAUUUGUAUUUUUCCAACGCGAGUACGUUCCAUUGUGUAAUAGAUAAUAAUUAAUGUUCUAGGUUUAUUCCUAAUUCUGGAUGAGCGACGUUGCUCCAGAUUUUCUUCAGCUGCUACUCCGCAAAAGCAUUGUGUUUUGGAUUUGGAAAUAUUUUUAGUUGUAACAAGUUUUCUAAA